This 71-nucleotide small nucleolar RNA is filed under the name Procavia capensis (Cape rock hyrax). RNAcentral describes it as "Small nucleolar RNA SNORD112 (ENSPCAG00000020536.1)". Lineage: Eukaryota; Metazoa; Chordata; Mammalia; Hyracoidea; Procaviidae. The record is from RNAcentral.
UGACCCAAUGAUGACAAUGGGUCAUGAACCCAGGAUUAUGAUUAAUCUAAUUUUCUGUACCUAGGGCCAUU